This 210-nucleotide long non-coding RNA is filed under the name Capsicum annuum. Its description in RNAcentral is "long non-coding RNA (CANN_LNC008408)". The record is from RNAcentral. Lineage: Eukaryota; Viridiplantae; Streptophyta; Magnoliopsida; Solanales; Solanaceae.
CAGCUUCUUCUUUUUUUAAUGGUUGAUUCUGUUGGGUGAACAGGUUGAUUUGAUGUUGGCAAAUUCAGCUGAUGAAAUUAGGCCUUUUCUGAAUCAUUCCGAAGAGCAAGUAGGUGAGAACAAGUUGCCCGGAAUUUGUUUAAUACUCCACGUACUCAAAUUCAUGUGAAUUCUUUUUCCUAGUUUUUCAGUUCACCAGCGGGCGGGCAC